Molecule: ribosomal RNA, 410 nt
Filed under: uncultured bacterium
Lineage: Bacteria
Description: bacterial SSU rRNA
Rfam family: Bacterial small subunit ribosomal RNA
Source: RNAcentral
GAUGAACGCUAGCUACAGGCUUAACACAUGCAAGUCGAACGAAGCACCUUGACUGAGACCUUCGGGUGGAUUUUGAGGUGACUGAGUGGCGGACGGGUGAGUAACGCGUGGGUAACCUGCCUUACAGAGGGGGAUAACAGUUGGAAACGGCUGCUAAUACCGCAUAAGCGCACAGGGUCGCAUGACCCAGUGUGAAAAACUCAGGUGCUGUAAGAUGGACCCGCGUUGGAUUAGCUAGUUGGCAGGGUAACGCCUACCAAGGCGACGAUCCAUAGCCGGCCUGAGAGGGUGACCGGCCACAUUGGGACUGAGACACGGGCCCAAACUCCUACGGGAGCAGCAGUGGGAAUAUGCACAAUGGGCAAAGCCUGAUGCAGCAACGCCGCGUGAAGGACGAAGUAUUUCAGUAU